Long non-coding RNA from Sycon ciliatum, 703 nucleotides. RefSeq lists it as uncharacterized. The transcript is spliced from 3 exons. Lineage: Eukaryota; Metazoa; Porifera; Calcarea; Leucosolenida; Sycettidae. The record is from RefSeq and is a predicted model, not a curated record.
UCUCGUCCCCGUUGCAUACACAUUUUCUCGUCUUGUCUCCGUUGUAUUUGUCUGGUUGCCGUCUUGUGUCCGUCGUAUUUCCCCGUCGUUCGUCUUUGUCUCCCGUCCUGUUCAGGCCUUGUUGUACUUUGCACAGGCACCUUUUUAGUAUCCCUCACCCCACUUUUUCCCCUCUUUUCUCCACGUCCCCAUAAUAUAUUCUCUUGUCCGUUUUGUUGGAGAGCAGUUCUCCAGUCCCCUUACUGAAAGCAAGUUAGAGAAAACGCUCUCUCUCCCAGUGUGCACGAGUCUUUUGUUGUUGUGUGGAGUGGCGAGGAGAGCCGCAGUUCGUCGGAUUAAACUGACGACAUUUGGCGCCCAACCAAUCGUAUCCACGACCCUGAAGCUCGUCGACGUGUCGCCGUCAGCUCGUAUUCUUCUUCUCCUCGCCGUACCUCCGUAUCGAUGACGUACUACGAACGACCAGGCCCCGCAUUGGCGCGCCUCCUCAGCAUUCACCGGCGGAGGCCCAUCUCUGCACUCCACCUGCCGCUCCACUGCCCUCCCCUCCGUCUAUUCCGGUCGAGUCCUCGGAUGCCCUCCCGGUGGGUGCUGUCACGGCCGUCACCGAUGCGGUACCCUUCUACAUCCACCGUGCUGGCACCAGUCUCUUCGCGCCCGCGUGGUAUGCAUCUAGGGCAGUUCCUACCGGUGGAGGACCCUA